RNAcentral lists this transfer RNA (62 nucleotides) under Luciola parvula. Its description in RNAcentral is "tRNA-Phe". Lineage: Eukaryota; Metazoa; Arthropoda; Insecta; Coleoptera; Lampyridae. The record is from RNAcentral.
UUUUAAUAGCUUAAUUAGAGCAUAAUAUUGAAGAUAUUAAGGAGAUCUUUGAUCUUAAGAUA